UAUACACAGCAAUUUCAGAUCUAUCUUCUUUCUUCUCUUGCAGCUUAUGAAUCACUGACCUAGAGUCUCCCUAAACUUCCACGCCCUUCAGGCCGAGUUGAAAUCCCAGAUCUAGUGCCUGAUAACACACCAACACCUCGGUUGCAAAAGCAGACGAUCAAGAACAAAGAAAAUCGAACUUAGAUCGAGGGAAGUCCAAUAUAGUUGAAUAGUCGACUCGUUUCCAUCUGAAAUUCGUACGAGUUAUCUUAGCUACUCAAGGCUCGGGGAUAGUCGAGGAUUGUCACCAUACUAUCGAACUCAUUUUGGUACUUUUGAAAGUGUAAAUAUUUUUAAGUAUAGCAUGUAUAGGAUAGAAUGUAUAUGUAUUUAAGUUUUGAUAUGUAUAUAUGUUAUGCCAUGAGAGUUGGCUAGCAAAUGGUAUGUUUGUGCUUAGUUUUGGUAAAUGGUUUGUGAUGCUAAA
Long non-coding RNA from Gossypium arboreum, 463 nucleotides. RefSeq lists it as uncharacterized. The transcript has 3 exons. NCBI's taxonomy places the organism in Eukaryota, Viridiplantae, Streptophyta, Magnoliopsida, Malvales, Malvaceae. The record is from RefSeq and is a predicted model, not a curated record.